Molecule: non-coding RNA, 77 nt
Organism: Trichonephila inaurata madagascariensis
Lineage: Eukaryota; Metazoa; Arthropoda; Arachnida; Araneae; Nephilidae
Source: the annotation of a GenBank genome assembly
GCAAUCGGUGGUUCGGUGGUGGUGAAUGCUCGCCUGCCACGCGGGCGCUCCGGGCUCCGGAUUCCCCGGCCGAUGCA